GCAAGUCGAGCGAGAAAGGUCUCUUCGGAGACUGAGUAAAGCGGCGGACGGGUGAGUAACACGUGAGUAACGUACCCUUCAGUGGGGGAUAACUAUUCGAAAGGAUAGCUAAUACCGCAUGAGACCACAGAGGCUUCGGCUUCAGAGGUCAAAGUCUUCGGACGCUGAAGGAUCGGCUCGCGGUCCAUUAGGUAGUUGGUGGGGUAACGGCCUACCAAGUCUACGAUCUAUAGCUGGUUUUAGAGGAUGAUC
This 252-nucleotide ribosomal RNA is filed under the name uncultured bacterium. RNAcentral's name for it is "partial 16S ribosomal RNA". It matches the Rfam family "Bacterial small subunit ribosomal RNA", at positions 57 to 305 of the family's 1533-position model. The record is from RNAcentral.